This 202-nucleotide long non-coding RNA is filed under the name Brassica napus (rape). RNAcentral's name for it is "long non-coding RNA (BNAP_LNC027051)". The record is from RNAcentral. Lineage: Eukaryota; Viridiplantae; Streptophyta; Magnoliopsida; Brassicales; Brassicaceae.
AGGGUUUUGGAAUAUAUCGUGCUGAUAACGUGUUGUAAUUAGAGAGUUUAGAGACUGAAUAUUUCUGUGUAUUAUUAAUGAUCAAGCGGAUUCCUUUAUAUAAGGAUUACAAGAUAAAGAUAAAAGAAAAGUGUACAUAUCCUUAUCCAAGAGGAAAUAGGAAAACUACUAAAACAUAGGAAAAAGAAACUAUUUAUAUCCU